Molecule: ribosomal RNA, 20 nt
Filed under: Candida albicans
Lineage: Eukaryota; Fungi; Ascomycota; Pichiomycetes; Serinales; Debaryomycetaceae
Description: partial 18S ribosomal RNA
Source: RNAcentral
AACUUGGGAAGGGUCCAUUA